Long non-coding RNA from Brassica napus (rape), 600 nucleotides. RefSeq lists it as uncharacterized. The transcript has 2 exons. NCBI's taxonomy places the organism in Eukaryota, Viridiplantae, Streptophyta, Magnoliopsida, Brassicales, Brassicaceae. The record is from RefSeq and is a predicted model, not a curated record.
GUCCUUGCAGCUUCAUUUGCAAUCCUUUCCCAUUCAGGUGCUUCCUUGUCAAUCUACACAAGAGGGUUGCUGUAAUAAGAGUUCCUUAGAGGUCUGAGUUAACUACUUUGGCCAUGUUCGUUGGUUGUUCGUUUUGUUAUUGUCGCAUAAACUUGCAACAACGAAACAAACAACAUUGGUAGCAUGUUCUGCGACAAUAAAACUAACAACAUUUUGGUCGCAUGUUGUAGUCGCAGAACUAACAUGCAACAACAUUUUGGUCGCAGGUUCUGCGACAACGCAUGUCCUAAGUCGCGUCUUGCGACUUGUAAAUGAACAUGGCCUUUGUCAUUGCAAAUACAAGGCUAACGACCACUUACGUGCCCUAGGAGGCAUCCUUUAGCCUUUGGUAGGUUUGCUAGUGGCCUCUGAUGAACAACCUCACAUAGUGAAAACGGCUUGACACCAUUUUCUUCUAUCUGUCUCUCCCUUUCAUUCCAUAUUCUCAGUAGUUCCAUGGACGGCGCGGUGCCAAUGAUUCCAGGGUGCGUCAAACCCGGAAACCGUACUCCUACACAUGAUGAUGGUGAGCUACAUCAACAACAAAAGAUCCAAUCAAAA